GACGAACCGUGCGAACGUUAUUCGGAAUCACUGGGCUUAAAGGGCGCGUAGGCGGGCUCGCCAGUCAGGGGUGAAAGCCCACGGCUCAACCGUGGAAGUGCCUUUGAUACUGCGAGUCUCGAGGGAGGUAGGGGCGUGCGGAACUUCCGGUGGAGCGGUGAAAUGCGUUGAUAUCCUAAGGAACACCGGUGGCGAAAGCGGCUCACUGGAUCUCUUCUGACGCUGAUGCACGAAAGCUAGGGUAGCGAACGGG
RNAcentral lists this ribosomal RNA (253 nucleotides) under uncultured bacterium. RNAcentral describes it as "partial 16S ribosomal RNA". It matches the Rfam family "Bacterial small subunit ribosomal RNA", at positions 524 to 776 of the family's 1533-position model. The record is from RNAcentral.